RNAcentral lists this ribosomal RNA (547 nucleotides) under Chlamydomonas sp. RCC443. RNAcentral's name for it is "SSU rRNA". It matches the Rfam family "Eukaryotic small subunit ribosomal RNA", at positions 596 to 1150 of the family's 1831-position model. Lineage: Eukaryota; Viridiplantae; Chlorophyta; Chlorophyceae; Chlamydomonadales; Chlamydomonadaceae. The record is from RNAcentral.
AGCGUAUAUUUAAGUUGCUGCAGUUAAAAAGCUCGUAGUUGGAUUUCGGGCGGUCGACGACGGUCCGCCUCUGGUGUGCACUGCCGUUCUUCCGCCUUUCUGGCGGGGACGUGCUCUUGGGCUUCACUGUCUGGGACACGGGUUCGCCGAGGUUACUUUGAGUAAAUUAGAGUGUUCAAAGCAGGCAUCGCCUUGAAUAUAUUAGCAUGGAAUAGCACGAUAGGACUCUGGCCUAUUUUGCUGGUCUGUAGGACCGGAGUAAUGAUUAAGAGGGACAGUCGGGGGCAUUCGUAUUUCAUUGUCAGAGGUGAAAUUCUUGGAUUUAUGAAAGACGAACUUCUGCGAAAGCAUUUGCCAAGGAUGUUUUCAUUGAUCAAGAACGAAAGUUGGGGGCUCGAAGACGAUUAGAUACCGUCGUAGUCUCAACCAUAAACGAUGCCGACCAGGGAUUGGGCAGUGUUCCUUUGAUGACCUGCCCAGCACCUUGAGAGAAAUCAGAGUUUUUGGGUUCCGGGGGGAGUAUGGUCGCAAGGCUGAAACUUAAAGG